RNAcentral lists this ribosomal RNA (497 nucleotides) under uncultured bacterium. RNAcentral describes it as "partial 16S ribosomal RNA". It matches the Rfam family "Bacterial small subunit ribosomal RNA", at positions 28 to 507 of the family's 1533-position model. The record is from RNAcentral.
GAUGAACGCUGGCGGCGUGCCUAAUACAUGCAAGUCGAGCGAACGGACGAGAAGCUUGCUUUUCUGAUGUUAGCGGCGGACGGGUGAGUAACACGUGGAUAACCUACCUAUAAGACUGGGAUAACUUCGGGAAACCGGAGCUAAUACCGGAUAAUAUUUUGAACCGCAUGGUUCAAAAGUGAAAGACGGUCUUGCUGUCACUUAUAGAUGGAUCCGCGCUGCAUUAGCUAGUUGGUAAGGUAACGGCUUACCAAGGCAACGAUGCAUAGCCGCCCUGAGAGGGUGAUCGGCCACACUGGAACUGAGACACGGUCCAGACUCCUACGGGAGGCAGCAGUAGGGAAUCUUACGCAAUGGGCGAAAGCCUGACGGAGCAACGCCGCGUGAGUGAUGAAGGUCUUCGGAUCGUAAAACUCUGUUAUUAGGGAAGAACAUAUGUGUAAGUAACUGUGCACAUCUUGACGGUACCUAAUCAGAAAGCCACGGCUAACUACGUG